Molecule: long non-coding RNA, 524 nt
Filed under: Parus major (Great Tit)
Lineage: Eukaryota; Metazoa; Chordata; Aves; Passeriformes; Paridae
Description: lncRNA (ENSPMJG00000006896.1)
Source: RNAcentral
CUCAUCAGAGACACACGGGAGGUGAGAUGUCCCAAUGUGGGUACUCUGCCCAUAGUGUCAGUAAAUGCUAUAUAUUAUUAUAUAUUUUUUUAAAUACAGUGAAGGACUUUAGAGAGAGAGGUCCUCUUAAGCUAAACAUCUCCUUAGGUCAGCUGAGAUGUAAAGCACAGUCCUUGUACCCUCCUGUCGUCAAGAUGGCUCAAAAUUCAUGUGAGGAAGUUGGGUCUGCUGUCCUUAAGAGCUCCAAGCAAAGCCACUUGGUAACAAGGUAAUGAAAGUUUUAAGACAAAAGGUGGUGCUCCUCUUAACCAGGAAACACAACACUGUUUAAAUUUUGCAAGAUAAGGAAGCCCAAGGAAGUUCAGAAGUCUUCAUGGCCACUGACCACCUGCUGACAUCAUCUGUGGGUGAAUCACUUGCUGAUCCAAAAUCACCUGAAGUGAAAUUGUCCUUUAAAACUAACCCAUACAUCUUAGGAUGCAAAACCACAUCAUGGAUUUAAUAAAUUCUCAAUUUAUUGUCCA